This 253-nucleotide ribosomal RNA is filed under the name uncultured bacterium. RNAcentral describes it as "partial 16S ribosomal RNA". It matches the Rfam family "Bacterial small subunit ribosomal RNA", at positions 524 to 776 of the family's 1533-position model. The record is from RNAcentral.
UACAGAGGUCCCAAGCGUUGUUCGGAUUCACUGGGCGUAAAGGGUGCGCAGGUGGGUUGGCAAGUUUGAUGUGAAAGCCCCGGGCUUAACCCGGGAAUGGCAUUGAAUACUGCUGAUCUGGAGGAUCGGAGGGGGGACUGGAAUUCUUGGUGUAGCAGUGAAAUGCGUAGAUAUCAAGAGGAACACCAGUGGCGAAGGCGAGUCCCUGGACGAUACCUGACACUGAGGCACGAAAGCCAAGGGAGCAAACAGG